UGACAACAUGUAGAAUGCAACAGCCCUCGAUGACAUCAUCAUCCAGCGCCCGCCGCAUGGUGAAGUCCACGACCGGGUGGAACCGGAGCGACUCGUUGAUAAAACUCUCCAGAAUGUUUAACCUGGACAGAUAAUAUUUCUGGAAAAUACUGGUUUGAAAUGACAUGACAAUGAGUAAAUGAUUCCUUUAAAGAAGAUGAAGAUGAAGAUGAAGAUGAAGAUCUUCAACUCGACGUCUGGAUUCUGUUUGAGUAACAGCAACAUGAAGAACAAACUGAUGGAGAGAGUAUCUGGAGCCGCGAUCACCAUCUCCAACACACACUGCCUGACGUUCUCAGCGCUCAGCUCCCCGUGGUUCUAAACACGCAUACAUAGUAGUUGCUGGCUGUCCCGAUCCCAGACCAGAUGAACCGACAGUAAGAGAGAAGAGGACCCAGACCCAGGAAGAAACAAGGACCUGAAUGAAACACAUUGCAGCAAACAACAAUCAUCAGUUCAAAAAUGAUGAAUGUAAAUCAAGAACAUGCUGCAAAAUAAUAAAGGACAAAAUUCCAAAAAAAGCCUACCGACCCGGCAUAUGAGAUUUCUCUGGCCGGUGGUGUCUGAUGGCCAGCAGCAGGCAAAGUAACAUCAGCAGUAGUGUGGCCGUGGCUCCACACACAUUGUCUUGAGCCCCUUUAGUGCCAUUACGGGCGCCUUCGACCAGAAGAUCAACCGCAGCCUCGCCGAGACGCACCGGCUUCAUUCCACAGGGCUGGAGCAGUUCAGCUGCCAUAAGAACAGAUGGGGAAUUACAGUCUCUUCAAGUCUAAAGCAUCAGACUUGCAGACAUACACUUUUAUAUCUGAGUGGUUGCAUGGGAUUGGAGCAGGAUAAUCCAAAAGUCAAAAUAAAAACUCAGC
Megalobrama amblycephala (Wuchang bream) is the source of this 902-nucleotide long non-coding RNA. RefSeq lists it as uncharacterized. The transcript has 6 exons. The record is from RefSeq and is a predicted model, not a curated record. NCBI's taxonomy places the organism in Eukaryota, Metazoa, Chordata, Actinopteri, Cypriniformes, Xenocyprididae.